GCAGCCAUCCUUUAAAGAAAGCGUAAUAGCUCACUGAUCUAAAUAAGACGUCCUGCGCCGAAGAUGUAACGGGGCUAAAGCCAUAUACCGAAGUUACGGGAUUGUAUUGCAAUAGAUACAAUCGGUAGCGGAGCGUUCUGUAGGCCUGCGAAGGUGAACCGUAAGGUUUGCUGGAGGUAUCAGAAGUGAGAAUGCUGACAUGAGUAGCGAAAAGAAGAGUGAGAGACUCUUCCGCUGAAAGUCCAAGGUUUCCUGCGUAAAGCUAAUCUGCGCAGGGUUAGUCGGCCCCUAAGGCGAGGCAGAGAUGCGUAGCUGAUGGGAACACGGUUAAUAUUCCGUGACCAGUUAGGAAGUGACGGAUACAGUAGUUUGUACAUGCUUAAUGGAUUGUGUGUGCAAGUGAUGUGUCCCGGGAAAUAGCCCUAACGAAGACCGUACCCGAAACCGACACAGGUGGACAGGUAGAGUAUACCAAAGCGCUUGAGAGAACUAUGUUGAAGGAACUAGGCAAAAUACUUGCGUAACUUCGGGAUAAGCAAGCCCGGUUUUAAGGCAACUUAAGGCCGGGGGCACAUACUAGGGGGUAGCGACUGUUUAACAAAAACACAGGACUCUGCGAAAUUGAAAGAUGAAGUAUAGGGUCUGACGCCUGCCCGGUGCCGGAAGGUUAAGGAGAGAUGUGAGAGCAUUGAACUGAAGCCCCGGUAAACGGCGGCCGUAACUAUAACGGUCCUAAGGUAGCGAAAUUCCUUGUCGGGUAAGUUCCGACCUGCACGAAUGGCGUAACGACUUCCCCGCUGUCUCCAACAUAGGCUCAGCGAAAUUGAACUCUGAGUUAAGAUGCUCAGUACCCGCGGUUAGACGGAAAGACCCCGUGAACCUUUACUAUAGCUUUGCAGUGGUAUUAGGUAAGACAUGUGUAGGAUAGGUGGGAUGCUAUGAAGGUAGGACGCUAGUUUUACUGGAGCAGACGUUGAAAUACCACCCUUGUGUUAUUUGAUAUCUAACCUACUUCCGUAAACCGGAAGAGGGACCCUGCAUGGUGGGUAGUUUGACUGGGGCGGUCGCCUCCCAAAGAGUAACGGAGGCGCGCGAAGGUUGGCUCAGAUUGGUCGGAAAUCAAUCGUUGAGUGCAAUGGCAUAAGCCAGCCUGACUGCGAGAGCGACGGUUCGAGCAGAGACGAAAGUCGGUCAUAGUGAUCCGGUGGUCCC
RNAcentral lists this ribosomal RNA (1212 nucleotides) under human gut metagenome. RNAcentral's name for it is "bacterial LSU rRNA". It matches the Rfam family "Bacterial large subunit ribosomal RNA", at positions 1112 to 2430 of the family's 2925-position model. The record is from RNAcentral.